CCUACGGGAGGCUGCAGUGGGGAAUAUUGCACAAUGGGGGAAACCCUGAUGCAGCGACGCCGCGUGAGUGAAGAUGUAUUUCGGUAGGUAAAGCUCUAUCAGCAGGGAAGAAAUAGCGACCUUUGGGUCGCCAGACGGUUCCUGACUAAGAAGCCCCGGCUAACUACGUGCCAGCAGCCGCGGUAAUACGUAGGGGGCAAGCGUUAUCCGGAUUUAUUGGGUUUAAAGGGUGCGCAGGCGGGGGUGGAAGUUAGCGGUAAAAUUGCGGGGCUCAACCCCGUACUGCCGUUGAAACUGCAUCCCUUGAGUGCGCGAGAAGUAUGCGGAAUGCGUGGUGUAGCGGUGAAAUGCAUAGAUAUCACGCAGAACUCCGAUUGCGAAGGCAGCAUACCGGCGCGCAACUGACGCUCAUGCACGAAAGCGUGGGUAUCGAACAGGAUUAGAUACCCGUGUAGUC
Molecule: ribosomal RNA, 457 nt
Filed under: uncultured bacterium
Lineage: Bacteria
Description: partial 16S ribosomal RNA
Rfam family: Bacterial small subunit ribosomal RNA
Source: RNAcentral